RNAcentral lists this unclassified non-coding RNA (149 nucleotides) under uncultured Chaetosphaeriaceae. Its description in RNAcentral is "sequence contains ITS2". The record is from RNAcentral. Lineage: Eukaryota; Fungi; Ascomycota; Sordariomycetes; Chaetosphaeriales; Chaetosphaeriaceae.
CAACCCUCAGGCCCUGCCUGGCGUUGGAGGACUGCGCACGCAGCCUCCCAAAGCAAGCGGCGGCGGCGCCCCAUAACCGAACGCAGUAGUUACUUCUCGUUCUGGGUCUGGGACGUUGUCCGGCCGGAAAACCCCCAACUAUUACAAGU